Oncorhynchus tshawytscha (Chinook salmon) is the source of this 1759-nucleotide long non-coding RNA. NCBI's taxonomy places the organism in Eukaryota, Metazoa, Chordata, Actinopteri, Salmoniformes, Salmonidae. The record is from Ensembl.
GAGGAACCUGUCGUUGCUUUCUACCUUCAGACCCGAAACGUUGUGAGCUUUAAGACCAUGCUGUACUCCAACAGGCAACAUCUGUCCUCAACACUGUGUAUCGCGCUUGGCUUCAGGUCCGUUUCUACACAGUCGGUGAUCUGACACACACAGCGCUGCUAGAGAAAGGAGACAUCCCCAACACAGCACCAUAUUGAUGACAGAGUGAGAGUGAUGGGAUGCAAGGAGAAGAUAUUAUCCCGCUGCUGUUCUAUAUAGACGGGCCGAUAGCAUGAGGAAAACUGGAGCUACGAGUGCACACUACAACAAAUAAGACGGAGAGGUGCUGCAAAAUGCGCCAUGGGUUAUCUUUACUCCUCGUCAUAACUCUUUGUGGCAGCCUGUUCUUAAUCUACCACGCUGGUUUCCAUGGUACCACCAACGCGGCGGAGAGGUCCAGAGAUGGGAGUGAUGUAGCGAGAAGAAGAUGGCAGACUGAGCAGCAGCAGACCACCAGUACCCCACCUCCUCGCCCUACAGUCCUACAGGGAUACAGCGGUAUCAUCGACCACAAGAGAUGAUUAUUCCAGUCGGCGCGACGCACAAAGAAUCCAGGUGGCUGUACCGUCUCCGACAGCAUAUCCCGAGAGGGACAUGUUUCCGAGACAUGUUUCCGAACAGAAUAUGUUACAAUCCCUGAUAUGUCCCUGGAAGCAACCCUUGCCCUAACUUCGACUACCGGGAAAGUCGUAUUCCUGGUUGUAUUCCUGGUCGUAGUUCUGGUUGUAGUACUGGUCGUAGUCCUGGUCGUUGUCCUGGUUGUAGUGCUGGUCAUAGUCCUGGUCGUAGUCCUGGUUAUAGUGCUGGUCAUAGUGCUGGUCAUAGUCCUGGUCGUAGUGCUGGUCGUAGUCCUGGUCGUAGUCCUGGUCGUAUUCCUGGUACAGUUCAUACAGUUCCUCCCGGCUAUAGUUCUUCCUGGCUUAUAUCCAGUAGUUCAUCCUGGUUUAUACCCAGUAGUUCUUCCUGGCUUAUAUCCAGUAGUUCAUCCUGGCUUAUAUCCAGUAGUUCAUCCUGGCUUAUAUCCAGUAGUUCUUCCUGGCUUAUAUCCUAUAGUUCAUCCUGGCUUAUAUCCAGUAGUUCUUCCUGGCUUAUAUCCAGUAGUUCUUCCUGGCUUAUAUUCAAUAGUUCUUACCAGCUGUAUGUAAUAAGACUCAAGAUUUCCUGGGGUAACAAUGUAAUAAAUAAUACAUUAAAAAAAACAAAAUACUGCAAAGUUUCCUAAGAACUAAAAGCGAGGCAGCCCUCUCUGUCGGCGCCCAGAUCACAAAGGGAAACUCAGCCGCAAGCUGUCCAGUACCGCACGCCUACCAGACGAGUUAAAUACCUGUCAUGCUCGUUUCGAGGCUAGCAACACUGGACCAUGCAAGACAGCACCUGCUGACGCUCUCACGCUCUCCGUAACCAAUUUUUUGUAAGUCCUUUAAACAGGUUAACAUUCACAAGGCUACAGGGCCAGGCUGACUAUUUGGCAACUGCUUGGCAUCUGACCGCAAUGUGCUACAGUACAGAGGUUAAUGCAUACGACCCAGUAUGUGCUACAGUACAGAGGUUAAUGCAUACGACCCAGUAUGUGCUACAUUACAGAGGUUAAUGCUUACGACCCAGUAUGUGCUACAGUACAGAGGUUAAUGCUUACGACCCAGUAUGUGCUACAGUACAGAGGUUAAUGCUUACGACCCAGUAUGUGCUACAGUACAGAGGUUAAUGCUUACGACCCAGU